Molecule: long non-coding RNA, 1369 nt
Filed under: Rattus norvegicus (Norway rat)
Lineage: Eukaryota; Metazoa; Chordata; Mammalia; Rodentia; Muridae
Description: long non-coding RNA NONRATT032047
Source: RNAcentral
CCUGUUUAACAUUUGUUUUUAAUGCGUCUCUCAUGAGUGCCCUCAUCCUCUCUGUUCCCUGCCUGCACUUAUCUGAGGGCGGGAUGGGGGGUCAUCAUCUCACAGUUACUCAGACUGAAGCCAGACCUGCUGAUAGUCAUGCUGACCUGAGAGACAGAGAAGCCCUGAAGAGGAGGAAGGAGAAAGACUCAAGAUGGGGGUGGCAGAGGCACAGUACUGAGAAAUGACAGCAUGUGCCGGCCACAGAAGGUACUGACAGGACAGAGGAGAGCAGGGAGGGACAGACACCCGCUGGACUUCACAUGGUGUCUGCGGCAAGUCUUGGAAAGGAUCAAAGCAAGAGGAGAAGGUGACUCAUCCAUAGGAAAGUCACAGCUCUGGAGUGAGCCCAGUAGCUCGAGAUGCAAACGGAGAGGGACAGUAAUGAGUGACGAUUAUUGACACAGUCUGGGCGGCUGCUGGGCCUUGUUCAACUGGUCACCGCAGCCGCUGGCACCGUUGCCAGAAGCAAAGAGCUGAGCUGAGAUUAGAGGACACUCGGUCUGCAGGAAGCCCCAUGGCAGGGCUGUCUCUAGAUUCAGGCAGGAGCUGUGCGCAGUCUCGGAAAAUCCGGGAAUGAGGUCUGGUGAGUGGCUGCUGGUCAAGCCACUCCGUGGGAAUGUACCCGAGAAUAGAUACGCAUGCAGUGUCCCUGCCAGUUCCAGAUCCUGCUCUCGUCAGCCAUACCCGGUCCCUUCCCAGCCUGCCAUCACGGUCCAGUCUGAGAAUACUUGUGAAGUUUUCAUGGUUUCAUCGGAACCCUGAUGCCUUAAGAGCUGGUGUUGCCUAGAACAGAGUGGUCCUGGUUCUGGUGGAAAUAAGAGGGGUUUUGGGGGUAGGGGGUAUGCCUCAGUUGGUGGUCUUAGAAAGUGGGCAUUGUGGGUAAAUAUCUGUGAGCCCAGAACUGAGGAGACAAAGGCAGAAGAUUCAAACCUUAAGGUCAUUCUUGACAGUGGCCUUGGUGGGAAACAUGUGAUCCUGCUGUGGGCAGUGGGGGCAAGAGGAGAGGAAAGAACAGGGAAGGACUGAGUCCAAACUCCAAUUUUCUUAGCAGCAAGUACAUGUGUGAGGAGCAAGACCCAGGGACUCCUGGGUCUCCAGGACUGUGAGAGCAGGGCACUUCUCCAAGAUGAGAGGGAUCUUUGGACUUACCUGGAAACAGCCCUCUGGGAGGGAAGGGGUUGUCUAAGGUCUCAAAGCCUCCCAGGAGCAGGGUUAGGGAUUGUGGUUUUCUCUGGCUCCCUUACUUUGCUUGACCCUCCACCCUUGCACCUGGACCCUGGGCUCUGGGCCAGGUUAAAACUCACAAGGAGACAUGCCGUUCCGAGCU